UUGAGAGGUUGUCGGCAGGAGGGUGAAUGAUGUUGGAUGACAAUAAUAGUAAAGUUCGACGCUGGAAAGUGGAAAUAGAUAGUGACGAAACGUGAGCUGCUCGAUCACAGCGUAAUCAUCUCCGAAGUCCACACUCCAUUAUUGCAAAAGCUGCCUCUUCACCCUGCUGCUAUAUAUGGCUUCUCUGUUACCAACACAAAGCCUGAUCUCAUCCACUUUCAUGAAGCAGCCACCUGCACUGCGUCUCACUUGUCUCUCAAGCCCCGAUCGAAGUCGUCUCAUAUUGAUUCCCCCCCCCCCAAAAAAAAAAAAAAAACUUGACCUCACCAUCCCCAUAUCCCCACGCCUCUUGCUGCUGCGCUAUGUAUGGCUCUCCUUUUUGCGGAUGCGUUGGGGUGGAGUGUGAGCAGAUCACUUGCCGUGAGCUGUGGCAGUGUUUGAGGUACUUUCACUGCGUGAACGUAUUCAACAUGCCGAGUUUUUCAUUGGACACUGCGGCACCGAGAAGAUGCCAAAGGACCGAGGGCACUAGAGGCAGCUUACUGCUUAUGCAUAAUUCGUUUCAAAUUGGGACGCCAAGUUGCCAACAAUAUAUACAGAACCCUGUGCCAAUUGAUUCAUUCAGAUUUUGAUUGAACUCAGGGCAGGAUAUGGAAGGACUCGCACAACAUCACUGUUUGGUCAUUAGAGAGGAAAAGUCUAUUAUCGUUGUAUAUAUGUGCGCGCGCGCCUUCUAGCUGGCACUUUUUUUCAUGGUUGAAAAAUGCACGGGAGAUAAAGUAUCUAUGAUACACAUUAUUAUCUGCAAGAUCUUCUAUGUUUCAUUUGCUGGAACAGUGAUUGGCUCUGUGGGGAUGCUGUUUGAAUGGGAAAGGCCACUAGGCUUGUUGGUGCAUUCAAUAGAACAUAUCUGAUCGUAUAUCAUCAAUAAAAUU
Prosopis cineraria is the source of this 935-nucleotide long non-coding RNA. RefSeq lists it as uncharacterized. The record is from RefSeq and is a predicted model, not a curated record. NCBI's taxonomy places the organism in Eukaryota, Viridiplantae, Streptophyta, Magnoliopsida, Fabales, Fabaceae. The transcript has 3 exons.